GAUGAACGCUGGCGGCGUGCCUAAUACAUGCAAGUCGAGCGAAUGGAUUAAGAGCUUGCUCUUACGAAGUUAGCGGCGGACGGGUGAGUAACACGUGGGUAACCUGCCCAUAAGACUGGGAUAACUCCGGGAAACCGGGGCUAAUACCGGAUAACAUUUUGAACCGCAUGGUUCGAAAUUGAAAGGCGUCUUCGGCUGUCACUUAUGGAUGGACCCGCGUCGCAUUAGCUAGUUGGUGAGGUAACGGCUCACCAAGGCAACGAUGCGUAGCCGACCAGAGAGGGUGAUCGGCCACACUGGGACUGAGACACGGCCCAGACUCCUACGGGAGGCAGCAGUAGGGAAUCUUCCGCAAUGGACGAAAGUCUGACGGAGCAACGCCGCGUGAGUGAUGAAGGCUUUCGGGUCGUAAAACUCUGUUGUUAGGGAAGAACAAGUGCUAGUUGAAUAAGCUGGCACCUUGACGGUACCUAACCAGAAAGCCACGGCUAACUACGUGCCAGCCGCCGCGGUAA
This 515-nucleotide ribosomal RNA is filed under the name uncultured bacterium. RNAcentral describes it as "partial 16S ribosomal RNA". It matches the Rfam family "Bacterial small subunit ribosomal RNA", at positions 28 to 523 of the family's 1533-position model. The record is from RNAcentral.